Molecule: transfer RNA, 72 nt
Organism: Eubacterium sp. CAG:86
Lineage: Bacteria; Bacillati; Bacillota; Clostridia; Eubacteriales; Eubacteriaceae
Rfam family: tRNA
About the family: Transfer RNA (tRNA) molecules are approximately 80 nucleotides in length. Their secondary structure includes four short double-helical elements and three loops (D, anti-codon, and T loops). Further hydrogen bonds mediate the characteristic L-shaped molecular structure. tRNAs have two regions of fundamental functional importance: the anti-codon, which is responsible for specific mRNA codon recognition, and the 3' end, to which the tRNAs corresponding amino acid is attached (by aminoacyl-tRNA synthetases). tRNAs cope with the degeneracy of the genetic code in two manners: having more than one tRNA (with a specific anti-codon) for a particular amino acid; and 'wobble' base-pairing, i.e. permitting non-standard base-pairing at the 3rd anti-codon position.
Source: Rfam
GCUGAUGUAGCUCAGUGGCAGAGCACUUCAUUGGUAAUGAAGAGGUCAGGGGUCCAAUUCCCCCCAUCAGCU